ACGGGUGCGUAACGCGUGGGAACCUGCCUUGAGGUUCGGAAUAACUUCCCGAAAGGGAUGCUAAUACCGGAUGAUGUCUUCGGACCAAAGAUUUAUCGCCUUUAGAUGGGCCCGCGUUGGAUUAGCUAGUUGGUGGGGUAAAGGCCUACCAAGGCGACGAUCCAUAGCUGGUCUGAGAGGAUGAUCAGCCACACUGGGACUGAGACACGGCCCAGACUCCUACGGGAGGCAGCAGUGGGGAAUAUUGGACAAUGGGCGAAAGCCUGAUCCAGCAAUGCCGCGUGAGUGAUGAAGGCCUUAGGGUUGUAAAGCUCUUUUACCAGGGAUGAUAAUGACAGUACCUGGAGAAUAAGCUCCGGCUAACUCCGUGCCAGCAGCCGCGGUAAUACGGAGGGAGCUAGCGUUGUUCGGAAUUACUGGGCGUAAAGCGCACGUAGGCGGCGAUUCAAGUCAGAGGUGAAAGCCCGGGGCUCAACCCCGGAACUGCCUUUGAAACUAGAUUGCUAGAAUCCUGGAGAGGUUAGUGGAAUUCCGAGUGUAGAGGUGAAAUUCGUAGA
Molecule: ribosomal RNA, 557 nt
Filed under: Altererythrobacter sp. HRRK067
Lineage: Bacteria; Pseudomonadati; Pseudomonadota; Alphaproteobacteria; Sphingomonadales; Erythrobacteraceae
Description: bacterial SSU rRNA
Rfam family: Bacterial small subunit ribosomal RNA
Source: RNAcentral